AUUGAACGCUGGCGGCAUGCUUUACACAUGCAAGUCGAACGGUAACAGGCCGCAAGGUGCUGACGAGUGGCGAACGGGUGAGUAAUGCAUCGGAACGUGCCCAGUCGUGGGGGAUAACGCAGCGAAAGCUGCGCUAAUACCGCAUACGAUCUGUGGAUGAAAGCGGGGGACCGAAAGGCCUCGCGCGAUUGGAGCGGCCGAUGGCAGAUUAGGUAGUUGGUGGGGUAAAGGCCCACCAAGCCAACGAUCUGUAGCUGGUCUGAGAGGACGACCAGCCACACUGGGACUGAGACACGGCCCAGACUCCUACGGGAGGCAGUAGUGGGGAAUUUUGGACAAUGGGCGCAAGCCUGAUCCAGCAAUGCCGCGUGCAGGAAGAAGGCCUUCGGGUUGUAAACUGCUUUUGUACGGAACGAAACGGCUCUGGUUAAUACCUGGGGCUAAUGACGGUACCGUAAGAAUAAGCACCGGCUAACUACGUGCCAGCCGCCGCGGUAA
RNAcentral lists this ribosomal RNA (498 nucleotides) under uncultured bacterium. RNAcentral describes it as "partial 16S ribosomal RNA". It matches the Rfam family "Bacterial small subunit ribosomal RNA", at positions 29 to 523 of the family's 1533-position model. The record is from RNAcentral.